Long non-coding RNA from Oncorhynchus kisutch (coho salmon), 443 nucleotides. RefSeq lists it as uncharacterized. NCBI's taxonomy places the organism in Eukaryota, Metazoa, Chordata, Actinopteri, Salmoniformes, Salmonidae. The transcript is spliced from 3 exons. The record is from RefSeq and is a predicted model, not a curated record.
UGUUCUGCACACGGCACCUGUCUGCCCCGGACGAUAUAAAGUCGAAGUCUAGCUAGUUAGAAAUUAAAAGCUGACAACACACCACUGACACCCAGCCAAACUACUACGAUCCAUUCGGAUAAAGAAGGGAGCUCAAAAACUGGAAAAUGGAUCCUUGUGAAUGCUCCAAAACUGGAUCUUGCAACUGCGGUGGAUCCUGCAAGUGCUCCAACUGCGCAUGCACCAGUUGUAAGAAAGCAAGUUGCUGCGACUGCUGUCCCUCCGGCUGCAGCAAGUGUGCCUCAGGCUGCGUGUGCAAGGGCAAGACUUGUGAUACCAGCUGUUGUCAGUGAGGCCUGUGUAUGACAUCACAAUGCAGUCCAUUCUCUAUGACUAUGAAGUUGUAUCAUCUUGAGCAUAGCUUUUGUUUGUCAAAUGUAAGGAAAUAAAUUGCAUUUAACUUA